Molecule: ribosomal RNA, 253 nt
Filed under: uncultured bacterium
Lineage: Bacteria
Description: partial 16S ribosomal RNA
Rfam family: Bacterial small subunit ribosomal RNA
Source: RNAcentral
UACGUAGGUGGCAAGCGUUGUCCGGAAUUAUUGGGCGUAAAGCGCGCGCAGGCGGUCCUUUAAGUCUGAUGUGAAAGCCCACGGCUCAACCGUGGAGGGUCAUUGGAAACUGGGGGACUUGAGUGCAGAAGAGGAGAGUGGAAUUCCAUGUGUAGCGGUGAAAUGCGUAGAGAUGUGGAGGAACACCAGUGGCGAAGGCGGCUCACUGGACCGGAACUGACGCUGAGGAGCGAAAGCCAGGGGAGCAAACGGG